Molecule: long non-coding RNA, 782 nt
Filed under: Olea europaea subsp. europaea
Lineage: Eukaryota; Viridiplantae; Streptophyta; Magnoliopsida; Lamiales; Oleaceae
Source: RNAcentral
CUUAGACGGUUUGAAGAGGUUCAUUUCAUUCUCUUGGUUUUCUUCUCUGAGUCUCUGGCAUUUUUUGGUCUCUGUAAUAUCGUCACCUUCGGUUUUCAAAUCUGUAGUUCAUUCUUUGUUGUAAAUCAGAUAUUGACCUUGAUUUGUGGCCUUUGGUUUGUUGUAAUCUCAGGCUUGUGUUGUGGCCUGUGUAUAGUGUUCAUGACAGGAAGUUUAGAGGCUUCUUUAAGUUGGUUUUGCGCUGUAAAGAACUAUUCUACUCUUGUGCCAGUUAGGUGGUGUUAUUGUGAGACCUGUUAUAGAUCGAUGAUCUACUAAUUAGGUCAGUGAUCUGAUUGUCGUACUCUAAACUUAAUCUCUCUCUUGAGAGGUUCUUAAAUAUAGUGAUGGGUUUUUACGUCUGAGUCCCCCGAGUAGGCUUUGUCAAAUUGGUUGAGCAUUUCUUGUGUUGAUUAUUACUGUUUUCGUGGGUCUAUGUUUCAAUUUUCUGAAUAUUGCUUCGGUUGGGUGGCAAAAUCCCAAUAAACUGGUAUCGGAGUCUGGUGAGGCGUGGGUAAGGCAUCUAUGAAAUUUGAUUUAAAGUUAUUGAUCUAUGCAAUACCAAUAACUCGAACUGAACGGAAUAUUCGGUUCUGAAAUCAGCACUGGAGUUUGGUUGAAUAUUUUUAUACACUAUUUGGUGAGAUUGUUCCUAUACAAAUUUACAGACAUUGAUUUGCGUGAUUUAAUUAUUAAUAUGUGAAUCUAUUGAUACUGUGAUUUGUUUUAUUCAAGAAUUGGAU